This 254-nucleotide ribosomal RNA is filed under the name uncultured bacterium. RNAcentral's name for it is "partial 16S ribosomal RNA". It matches the Rfam family "Bacterial small subunit ribosomal RNA", at positions 524 to 776 of the family's 1533-position model. The record is from RNAcentral.
GACGAAGGAUGCAAGCGUUAUCCGGAUUCAUUGGGUUUAAAGGGAGCGUAGGUGGACUUGUAAGUCAGUGGUGAAAUCUUUGGGCUUAACCCAGAAACUGCCAUUGAUACUGCAGGUCUAGAGUACAGUUGCCGUUGGCGGAAUAUGACAUGUAGUGGUGAAAUACUUAGAUAUGUCAUAGAACACCGAUUGCGAAAGGCAGCUAACGAAGCUGUAACUGACACUGAGGCUCGAAAGUGCGGGGAUCAAACAGG